Molecule: ribosomal RNA, 484 nt
Filed under: uncultured bacterium
Lineage: Bacteria
Description: partial 16S ribosomal RNA
Rfam family: Bacterial small subunit ribosomal RNA
Source: RNAcentral
AUUGAACGCUGGCGGCAGGCCUAACACAUGCAAGUCGAGCGGAUGAAGGGAGCUUGCUCCUGGAUUCAGCGGCGGACGGGUGAGUAAUGCCUAGGAAUCUGCCUAGUAGUGGGGGAUAACGUCCGGAAACGGGCGCUAAUACCGCAUACGUCCUGAGGGAGAAAGUGGGGGAUCUUCGGACCUCACGCUAUCAGAUGAGCCUAGGUCGGAUUAGCUAGUUGGUGGGGUAAAGGCCUACCAAGGCGACGAUCCGUAACUGGUCUGAGAGGAUGAUCAGUCACACUGGAACUGAGACACGGUCCAGACUCCUACGGGAGGCAGCAGUGGGGAAUAUUGGACAAUGGGCGAAAGCCUGAUCCAGCCAUGCCGCGUGUGUGAAGAAGGUCUUCGGAUUGUAAAGCACUUUAAGUUGGGAGGAGGGGCGGUAAGUUAAUACCUUGCUGUUUUGACGUUACCAACAGAAUAAGCACCGGCUAACUUCGUG